This 253-nucleotide ribosomal RNA is filed under the name uncultured bacterium. RNAcentral describes it as "partial 16S ribosomal RNA". It matches the Rfam family "Bacterial small subunit ribosomal RNA", at positions 524 to 776 of the family's 1533-position model. The record is from RNAcentral.
UACGAAGGGGGCUAGCGUUGUUCGGAAUUAUUGGGCGUAAAGGGCGCGUAGGCGGCUUGGCAAGUGGAAGGUGAAAUCCCUCGGCUUAACCGAGGAACUGCCUUCCAGACUGUUAGGCUUGAGACCGGGAGAGGUGAGUGGAAUUCCCAGUGUAGCGGUGAAAUGCGUAGAUAUUGGGAGGAACACCAGUGGCGAAGGCGGCUCACUGGACCGGUACUGACGCUGAGGCGCGAAAGCCAGGGGAGCAAACGGG